GUGCCCUACGAGCGGAGAUAUUGCGACGCAAAGUCCAAAUGUCAAAAAUUUUUUUUAAGAUACUUUCUUCUACGUCAACCGCUCUCAUUCAUUAUAACAUACAUGUAACAAACAGAGAACGUCACUUUCACUUUUUCGACACUGGCAGCUAGCAGCGUUAGUAUCGCAGUGCAGUGCAGUGCAGUGCAGUGCAGACAAGUGUGUUCGUUUAGCGCGCUGUCAGAGUGUCAGUCAGUUCAUCAGUUAUAACCUAUCUCGAGAGAGAUACGGUAGUACGCGCGGUGCGAGACCGACCGUGACUCUUUACACGACGCGACGAUAAAUUCAAGCAGGGAGCUGAUACUGAGAUCAAGGAGCCUGUUCACACGAGGCGUUUCUGCCGCGUGAUUGCGGCCGCGCGUUAACGUUUGCACGAGCCGCACGCUGUCGCGAGGUAUAAGGUGCAACAACGCGCGCAUACGCGCGUACGCGAAACGGCAGUAACACCGUAAUCGUGCCGGCGAUAUACUGAAUUGAAAAUUGAAUUGCUUCGUGCUUAUCCCGAGAUUUCGUAUCCCUACAUCGUGUUACCACCGCUGCCGAAAAAGAAGGUUCUCUACUCUUGGCAGAAAGUGACGACUGACACGUUCGAUCCCGACUUCGUUGAUCGCAGAAGAGCUGGACUCGAGAGGUAUUACAUAUUGACAGCAGAGAGCUGAUACCGAGGAGAUCAAGGAGCCUGUUCACAGGUAUAUAUUGACGGCAGGGAGCUGAUGCCGAGGAGAUCAAUCCCGUUUACGCGUGAAGGAAUUAUCAAGGAACGUGAAAAAGAGCAGGAAAAGGAAAGAGCACUAGCGGCGAAGCAGACAGAAAAGAACAAACAGAAGAGACAGAUUCAAGCUUUGUCUUUUAAUCUGGACGAAGACGAAGAUGAAGCUGAGAUGUCUUCUGACGAAGACAAUGCCGAAAAAUCCCCGCAGUCAGAAAAUGUGCAAUUUGAUGGCCCUGCGAUUAAGAAGAUUUAGAAAAAUACAGAUGUAGAUACAUGUUUUUUGCCAGUAGGGAAAGGGACGAGGAGGAAAAUAAACUUAGGGAAGAAUUGAGACAAGAAUGGGCUAGAAAGCAGAACGCGUUGAAGGAAGAAGAAAUUGAGAUCACAUUCAGUUAUUGGGAUGGAUCUGACCAUCGUCGGAGUGUUAUAAUGAAGAAAGGUAAUUCUAUCUAUUAGGUUCUUCAGAGAUGUUUAGAAGUUCUGCGGCGUGAAUUCAGCGAGCUUAAAACAGUAAUGGCAGAUCAGUUAAUGUAUGUCAAGUAGAAUCUUAUAUUACCGCACCAUUAUACGUUUUACUGCAACUAUAACUGAUUUUAUUGUAACUA
Molecule: long non-coding RNA, 1356 nt
Organism: Temnothorax curvispinosus
Lineage: Eukaryota; Metazoa; Arthropoda; Insecta; Hymenoptera; Formicidae
Exons: 5
Source: RefSeq, a predicted model, not a curated record